GAAUCCCUACGGGGCGCAGCAGUGGGGAAUAUUGCACAAUGGGGGAAACCCUGAUGCAGCGACGCCGCGUGAGCGAAGAAGUAUUUCGGUAUGUAAAGCUCUAUCAGCAGGGAAGAAAAUGACGGUACCUGAGUAAGAAGCUCCGGCUAAAUACGUGCCAGCAGCCGCGGUAAUACGUAUGGAGCAAGCGUUAUUCGGAUUUACUGGGUGUAAAGGGAGCGCAGGCGGUCUGGCAAGUCUGAUGUGAAAUACCGGGGCUCAACGCCGGGACUGCCUUG
This 278-nucleotide ribosomal RNA is filed under the name uncultured bacterium. RNAcentral describes it as "partial 16S ribosomal RNA". It matches the Rfam family "Bacterial small subunit ribosomal RNA", at positions 333 to 628 of the family's 1533-position model. The record is from RNAcentral.